CUACCUGAAGGCUUUGAGGAGGUGACACGUGGUAGGGGAAUGGUGGUGAGUUGGGCCCCUCAACAAGAAGUUCUUGGGCACCAAGCAGUUGGUGGCUUUUGGACCCAUAACGGCUGGAACUCGACGUUGGAAAGCAUAUGUGAGGGUGUUCCGAUGAUAUGUAGACCCCAUUUUGCCGAUCAGAUGAUAAAUGCCAGGUAUGUCCAGGAGGUCUGGAAGGUAGGAUUUGAGUUAGAGGGAAAGUUGGAGAGGGGGAAGAUUGAGAGGAGUGUUAGAAAGUUGUUUUGCCACGAAGAAGGUGGAGAGAUGAGGUGGAGGGCGAAAGAUCUCGAGGACAAAGCAACCGAGUGUAUGAAGAAAGGAGGCUCUUCAGAAACUAGAAUCAAUUUGUUGGUGAAUUUUAUGAUGUCAUUACCUUGUUCCAUUUAG
RNAcentral lists this ribosomal RNA (429 nucleotides) under Triticum aestivum (bread wheat). RNAcentral's name for it is "partial small subunit ribosomal RNA". Lineage: Eukaryota; Viridiplantae; Streptophyta; Magnoliopsida; Poales; Poaceae. The record is from RNAcentral.